This 497-nucleotide ribosomal RNA is filed under the name uncultured bacterium. Its description in RNAcentral is "partial 16S ribosomal RNA". It matches the Rfam family "Bacterial small subunit ribosomal RNA", at positions 28 to 507 of the family's 1533-position model. The record is from RNAcentral.
GACGAACGCUGGCGGCGUGCCUAAUACAUGCAAGUCGAGCGAUGAGACGAGGUGCUUGUACCACCGACGUUAGCGGCGGACGGGUGAGUAACACGUGGGGAACCUACCUAUAAGCGUGGGACAACAUCGGGAAACGGGUGCUAAUACCGCAUAAUAUAUUUAAACACAUGGUUCAAGAGUGAAAGACGCAAUUGCUGUCACCAAAAGAUAGAUCCGGUUGUCAUUACCUAGUGGGUAGGGUAACGCCUAACAAGGCGGAGGAACAGUAGCCGCCCGGGGAGGGUGACCGCCCACAUGGGACUUGGGACCCGGUCCAGACUCCUACGGGGGGCGGCGGUGGGGAAUCUUCCGCAAGGGGCGAAAGCCUGACGGAGCAACGCCGCGUGAUGGAUGAGGGUCUUCGGUCCUUAAACCUCUUUUAUUAGGGAAAACGAAAGGGGUAAGUAACUACGCACGUAGUGACGGUACCUAAUCAGAAAGCCACGGCUAACUACGUG